This 201-nucleotide long non-coding RNA is filed under the name Prunus dulcis (almond). RNAcentral's name for it is "sRNA ncRNA". The record is from RNAcentral. Lineage: Eukaryota; Viridiplantae; Streptophyta; Magnoliopsida; Rosales; Rosaceae.
AUGGAUGGAUGGAUGGAUGGAUGGAUGGAUGGAUGGGAUAAUGUUAAUGUGCCACGUUUAAGUCUGCAUAUCAACUGAACCAUCAAACCUCCCUCACCUCCUAUCUCCUCUGUUCCCCUUGUCCACACAUCAAUUCCUUCAUCUCUACCUCCCAAAAUAUCUACAACCCUAAAAUCCUCCUCUCUCCUUAUGAUCGCUUGA